AAGAAUGAAAGCACAAUUAAAAAGUGUUGAAUGGUCAAUAGUGACCCAACUAUCUGCCUGACUGCCAUAAUAUCUCUUUUCACAAUUACAAAUGAGGAGUAGAGAUUCCAAAAAAGUGCCCAUAUUUCCUUUUUCUAAUACAAUUAACUUUAAUUUUCUCCAAACAGCAUUCACAGACUGUAACCCUAACCCUUGUUGUUUGCAAUUGUG
Molecule: unclassified non-coding RNA, 210 nt
Filed under: Hevea brasiliensis (rubber tree)
Lineage: Eukaryota; Viridiplantae; Streptophyta; Magnoliopsida; Malpighiales; Euphorbiaceae
Source: RNAcentral